CCAGUGAUAGGGCAACUGGCAGCCCAACUGUCUUAGGAACAGUAGAUUGCGGGUUCAAAUCCCGCUCACUCAA
This 73-nucleotide transfer RNA is filed under the name Streptomyces hydrogenans. RNAcentral's name for it is "tRNA-Leu". It matches the Rfam family "tRNA". Rfam says of the family: Transfer RNA (tRNA) molecules are approximately 80 nucleotides in length. Their secondary structure includes four short double-helical elements and three loops (D, anti-codon, and T loops). The record is from RNAcentral. Lineage: Bacteria; Bacillati; Actinomycetota; Actinomycetes; Kitasatosporales; Streptomycetaceae.